UGACCCCUAGUGUAAUGGUAGCACGACUGACUCUGAAUCAGUUAGUCAAGGUUCAAAUCCUUGGGGGUCAA
Molecule: transfer RNA, 71 nt
Filed under: Limisphaerales bacterium
Lineage: Bacteria; Pseudomonadati; Verrucomicrobiota; Verrucomicrobiia; Limisphaerales
Also listed under: 1 other name
Description: tRNA-Gln
Rfam family: tRNA
About the family: Transfer RNA (tRNA) molecules are approximately 80 nucleotides in length.
Source: RNAcentral